GAUGAACGCUGGCGGCGUGCUUAACACAUGCAAGUCGAACGGAGAAGGCGGAGCUUGCUCUGCUGGAUCAGUGGCGAACGGGUGAGUAACACGUGAGCAAUCUGCCCCUGACUCAGGGAUAAGCGCUGGAAAAGGCGGCUAAUACUGGAUACGAGCUGCGAAGGCAUCUUCAGCAGCUGGAAAAAAGGUCGGUCAGGGAGGAGCUCGCGGCCUAUCAGCUUGAUGGUGAGGUAAUGGCUCAGCAAGGCGUCGACGGGUAGCCUGCCUGAAAGGGUGACCGGCCACAGUGGGACAGGGGAGCGGCCAGUAGGGCUACGGGAGGAAGGGGUGAGGGAUAUUGCACGAAGGGCGACGGGCUUAAGGAGCAACUCCGCGUGGGAGACGACUGUUUUCGGGUUGGAAACAUCUUGUAGCAGGGAAGGAGCGAAAGGGACGUAACCAGCAGAAAAAGCGCCGGCAAACUACG
RNAcentral lists this ribosomal RNA (466 nucleotides) under uncultured bacterium. Its description in RNAcentral is "partial 16S ribosomal RNA". It matches the Rfam family "Bacterial small subunit ribosomal RNA", at positions 28 to 505 of the family's 1533-position model. The record is from RNAcentral.